AUUGAACGCCGGCGGCAGGCCUAACACAUGCAAGUCGAGCGAGCGGCGGACGGGUGAGUAAUGUCUGGGAAACUGCCUGAUGGAGGGGGAUAACUACUGGAAACGGUAGCUAAUACCGCAUACCAUCAGAUGUGCCCAGAUGGGAUUAGCUAGUAGGUGGGGUAACGGCUCACCUAGGCGACGAUCCCUAGCUGGUCUGAGAGGAUGACCAGCCAAACUGGGAAUGAGACAAGGUCCAGACCCCUACGGGAGGCAGCAGGGGGGAAUAUUGACCAAUGGGCGCAAGCCCGAUGCAGCCCUGCCGGGUUUGUGAAGAAGGGCGUCGGGUUUUAAAGCACUUUCAGGGGGGAGGCGUUACCCGCAGGAGAAGCCCCGGCUAACUCCGUGCCAGCCGCCGCGGUAAUUC
Molecule: ribosomal RNA, 406 nt
Filed under: uncultured bacterium
Lineage: Bacteria
Description: partial 16S ribosomal RNA
Rfam family: Bacterial small subunit ribosomal RNA
Source: RNAcentral